AGGCCUAGCGGCGGACCCGGGUGAGUAACACGUGGGGGUAACCUGCCCAAGAGAUCGGGGAUAACACCUGGGAAACAGAUGCUAAUACCGGAUAACAACAGAUGAUGCCUAUCAACUGUUUAAAGAUGGUUCUGCUAUCACUCUUGGAUGGACCUGCGGUGCAUUAGCUAGUUGGUAGGGGUAACGGGCCUACCAAGGCGAUGAUGCAUAGCCCGAGUUGAGAGACUGAUCGGGCCACAUUGGGACUGAGACACGGGCCCAAACUCCUACGGGAGGCAGCAGUAGGGGGAAUCUUCCACAAUGGACGCAAAGUCUGAUGGAGCAAAACGCCGCGUGAGUGAAGAAGGGUUUCGGCUCGUAAAAGCUCUGUUGUUGGUGAAGAAGGACAGGGGUAGUAACUGACCCUUUGUUUGACGGUAAUCAAUUUAGAAAGUCACGGGCUAACUACGUGCCCAGCAGCCGCGGUAAAU
RNAcentral lists this ribosomal RNA (470 nucleotides) under uncultured Lactobacillales bacterium. RNAcentral's name for it is "bacterial SSU rRNA". It matches the Rfam family "Bacterial small subunit ribosomal RNA", at positions 88 to 525 of the family's 1533-position model. Lineage: Bacteria; Bacillati; Bacillota; Bacilli; Lactobacillales. The record is from RNAcentral.